RNAcentral lists this transfer RNA (71 nucleotides) under Marmota monax (woodchuck). Its description in RNAcentral is "tRNA.Ala". It matches the Rfam family "tRNA". Rfam says of the family: Transfer RNA (tRNA) molecules are approximately 80 nucleotides in length. Lineage: Eukaryota; Metazoa; Chordata; Mammalia; Rodentia; Sciuridae. The record is from RNAcentral.
GGGGUUGUGGCUCAGCGGUAGAGUACUUGCCUCGCACAUAGGGGACCCUGGGUUCAAUCCUCAGCACCACA